GUGCGAGCGUAAGCUGCACAUUUUCAAAAUUGGAACGAUACAGAGAAGAUUAGCGAGCCCCUGCCCAAGGAUGACACGCACAAUCGUGAAGCGUUCCGAAUUUUU
This is a small nuclear RNA of Patiria miniata (bat star), 105 nucleotides long. Lineage: Eukaryota; Metazoa; Echinodermata; Asteroidea; Valvatida; Asterinidae. The record is from RefSeq and is a predicted model, not a curated record.